Molecule: long non-coding RNA, 605 nt
Filed under: Bos grunniens (domestic yak)
Lineage: Eukaryota; Metazoa; Chordata; Mammalia; Artiodactyla; Bovidae
Description: lncRNA (ENSBGRG00000021372.1)
Source: RNAcentral
CUGCCAGACCUGCCUUUAUAGAUAACGCCCGCUUCUUCCACUCUGAACUAAUUAAUACAACAGUUCUCAGCUGCCUGCAAUCUUUCCUGUUCCUCCACAAGUUUCUUGUAUUGAGGUCCAAAUUAAGUGUUCCUUUACAAAGGAUCAUUUCUAGAUUCACAACCAUUGCCCCAAGUCCCAGCCCUCAAACCAACCUCUAUACUGCCAGUGGAACUUCUACAGCUAUGAGUGUCGGUAACAUGUAUUUGAGGAAGAGAAUGGACAGAUUCUGCAGUGGAAUACCAUGUCUAAUUUGAAUGAUUGGUUUAGUCACUUAUAAGGGUAACCACAGUCUGACAAGUCACUUCAGGACGACGCCUACAAGGUGGAAACACGACAUUGGCUCUGCAGGGACCGGACAGAGUUGGAAGCUCAUUUUGCCUAUGGUGGUAAUUGGAGUACUUAGUGGACAUGUUUUCAGGAUGGUUUCAUUGCUUGGCUCUGAUCUGAUUUGCAGUAACAUACUAUGUACCACGGGGUCAGGGCCUAAUGGAAGAGAUCGCAUGGGACUUUGGGGGGAUAUUUUGGUUAGUUCGUUUUUUUCUCUUUUGAGUGUCCACAAUUAA